Molecule: transfer RNA, 57 nt
Filed under: Biomphalaria glabrata
Lineage: Eukaryota; Metazoa; Mollusca; Gastropoda; Planorbidae
Rfam family: tRNA
About the family: Transfer RNA (tRNA) molecules are approximately 80 nucleotides in length. Their secondary structure includes four short double-helical elements and three loops (D, anti-codon, and T loops).
Source: Rfam by way of RNAcentral
UGGCUGAGUGGUAAAGCACUUGACUUCUGAACCAGGAGUCCCGGGUUUGAAUCCUGG